This 1030-nucleotide ribosomal RNA is filed under the name Terfezia alsheikhii. RNAcentral's name for it is "SSU rRNA". It matches the Rfam family "Eukaryotic small subunit ribosomal RNA", at positions 72 to 1110 of the family's 1831-position model. Lineage: Eukaryota; Fungi; Ascomycota; Pezizomycetes; Pezizales; Pezizaceae. The record is from RNAcentral.
AUAUAUACAGUGAAACUGCGAAUGGCUCAUUAAAUCAGUUAUCGUUUAUUUGAUAAUACCUUACUACUUGGAUAACCGUGGUAAUUCUAGAGCUAAUACAUGCAUAAAAGUCCCGACCCCUGGAAGGGAUGUAUUUAUUAGAUAAAAAACCAAUGCCUUCGGGCUCUUUGGUGAUUCAUAGUAACUUAACGAAUCGCAUGGCCUUGUGCUGGCGAUGGUUCAUUCAAAUUUCUGCCCUAUCAACUUUCGAUGGUAGGAUAUAGGCCUACCAUGGUUUCAACGGGUAACGGGGAAUUAGGGUUCUAUUCCGGAGAGGGAGCCUGAGAAACGGCUACCACAUCCAAGGAAGGCAGCAGGCGCGCAAAUUACCCAAUCCCGACACGGGGAGGUAGUGACAAUAAAUACUGAUACAGGUGGUUUUAUGCCUCUUGUAAUUGGAAUGAGUACAAUUUAAAUCUCUUAACGAGGAACAAUUGGAGGGCAAGUCUGGUGCCAGCAGCCGCGGUAAUUCCAGCUCCAAUAGCGUAUAUUAAAGUUGUUGCAGUUAAAAAGCUCGUAGUUGAACCUUGGACCUGGCCAACUGGUCUGCCUCACCGCAUGCACUGGUUUGGUCGGGUCUUUCCUUCUGGCAAACUGCAUGCCCUUCACUGGGUGUGUUGGGGAACCAGGACUUUUACUUUGAAAAAAUUAGAGUGUUCAAAGCAGGCAUUUGCUCGAAUACAUUAGCAUGGAAUAAUAGAAUAGGACGUGUGGUUCUAUUUUGUUGGUUUCUAGGACCACCGUAAUGAUUAAUAGGGAUAGUCGGGGGCAUCAGUAUUCAAUCGUCAGAGGUGAAAUUCUUGGAUCGAUUGAAGACUAACUACUGCGAAAGCAUUUGCCAAGGAUGUUUUCAUUAAUCAGGGAACGAAAGUUAGGGGAUCGAAGACGAUCAGAUACCGUCGUAGUCUUAACCAUAAACUAUGCCGACUAGGGAUUGGGCGAUGUUCUUUUUUGACUCGCUCAGCACCUUACGAGAAAUCAAAGUCUUUGG